AUUGAACGCUGGCGGCAUGCCUAACACAUGCAAGUCGAACGGCAGCACGGCAGUAGCAAUACUGUGGGUGGCGAGUGGCGGACGGGUGAGGAAUACGUCGAAAUCUGCCCAGUCGUGGGGGAUAACUAGCCGAAAGGUUAGCUAAUACCGCAUACGACCGAGAGGUGAAAGCGGGGGACCGCAAGGCCUCGCGCGAUUGGAUGAGCCGACGUCGGAUUAGCUAGUUGGUGGGUAAAGGCCACCAAGGCGACGAUCCGUAGCUGGUCUGAGAGGAUGAUCAGCCACACUGGAACUGAGACACGGUCCAGACUCCUACGGGAGGCAGCAGUGGGGAAUAUUGGACAAUGAGCGCAAGCCUGAUCCAGCAAUGCCGCGUGUGUGAAGAAGGCCUCGGUUGUAAGACGACUUUAUUCUAGACGAAAGACG
This 426-nucleotide ribosomal RNA is filed under the name uncultured bacterium. RNAcentral describes it as "bacterial SSU rRNA". It matches the Rfam family "Bacterial small subunit ribosomal RNA", at positions 29 to 454 of the family's 1533-position model. The record is from RNAcentral.